This 965-nucleotide long non-coding RNA is filed under the name Setaria italica (foxtail millet). Its description in RNAcentral is "long non-coding RNA (SITA_LNC001875)". The record is from RNAcentral. Lineage: Eukaryota; Viridiplantae; Streptophyta; Magnoliopsida; Poales; Poaceae.
AGCAACACAGGCACACACAGAGAGAGAGAGCAAGCAAGAGUUCGUGGGAGCUGCAGCAAUGGCGACGCGUCGCCUCUCUUCCUGCUGCCUUCUGCUCGCCGUGCUCCUGGUGGCGGCGGCGGCGGCCACGGCCUUCGACGAGGCGGCGGCGGCUGCCGGCGUCGGGCUGGGUCACGGGGCGCGUUUCGCGCGAAAGCCUGGGCGUGCUGUCGCGGAGAUGCCUCAGCCGGAACCCAAACCUGAACCGAAACCAGAGCCCAUGCCACAUCCUGAGCCUAAACCUGAACCAAAGCCCAUGCCGGAGCCAAAGCCAAUGCCACAUCCAGAGCCGAAACCUGAGCCCAUGCCUCACCCUGAACCGAAACCUGAGCCAAAGCCCGAACCUAAGCCUGAGCCAAAACCCAUGCCCGAGCCAAAACCUGAACCAAAACCCAUGCCCGAGCCUAAGCCGGAACCUAAGCCUGAGCCAAAACCUGAACCAAAACCUAAGCCUGAGCCAAAACCUGAACCAAAACCUAAGCCUGAGCCAAAACCCAUGCCCGAGCCGAAACCUGAACCAAAACCCAUGCCCGAGCCUAAGCCUGAGCCAACACCCGUGCCCGAGCCAAAGCCGGAACCUAAGCCCGAGCCGAAACCCAUGCCCGAGCCAAAACCCAAGCCCGAGCCAAAGCCGGAACCCAAGCCCGAGCCAAAGCCGGAACCUAAGCCCAAGCCGGAACCCAAGCCCGAGCCAAAGCCGGAACCUAAGCCCGAGCCGAAACCCAAGCCCGAGCCAAAGCCGGAACCCAAGCCCGAGCCAAAGCCCGAACCGAAGCCAAAGCCGAAGCCGGAACCUAAACCCGAGCCCAAGCCUGAACCAGAGCCGAAGCCGUAUCCUAAGCCGGAACCAAAACCCAAGCCAGAACCUAAGCCAGAACCCAAGCCAGAACCUAAGCCCGAACCCAAGCCCAAACCCGAGCCCAAGC